Long non-coding RNA from Solea senegalensis (Senegalese sole), 176 nucleotides. RefSeq lists it as uncharacterized. The record is from RefSeq and is a predicted model, not a curated record. The transcript is spliced from 3 exons. NCBI's taxonomy places the organism in Eukaryota, Metazoa, Chordata, Actinopteri, Pleuronectiformes, Soleidae.
UCUCUGAACUAACUGAUUCUGCCUCGACCCUGGUGGCUGUGUCUACCUCAGCUCCACGGUCACAACAGAGGCCGGCGAGGAGAAGACAUGCUCGGCCCAUGGCUCCACCAGCAAGGGCUACGUGAAUGACCCCAUGGAGUUCCAUGGAGAAUUCUAGCGACCCAAAACUUGGUGUA